RNAcentral lists this ribosomal RNA (778 nucleotides) under Tomentella olivaceobrunnea. RNAcentral describes it as "partial large subunit ribosomal RNA". It matches the Rfam family "Eukaryotic large subunit ribosomal RNA", at positions 140 to 906 of the family's 3401-position model. The record is from RNAcentral. Lineage: Eukaryota; Fungi; Basidiomycota; Agaricomycetes; Thelephorales; Thelephoraceae.
GAGUUGUAGUCUGGAGAAGCGUUUUCCGUGUUGGACCGUGUAUAAGUCUCUUGGAACAGGGCGUCAUAGAGGGUGAGAAUCCCGUCUUUGACACGGACUACCAAUGCUUUGUGAUGCGCUCUCAAAGAGUCGAGUUGUUUGGGAAUGCAGCUCAAAAUGGGUGGUAAAUUCCAUCUAAAGCUAAAUAUAGGCGAGAGACCGAUAGCGAACAAGUACCGUGAGGGAAAGAUGAAAAGCACUUUGGAAAGAGAGUUAAACAGUACGUGAAAUUGCUGAAAGGGAAACGCUUGAAGUCAGUCAUGUCUGCCAGGACUCAGCCUUGCUUCUGCUUGGUGUACUUUCUGGUUUGAUGGGCCAACAUCAAUUUUGACCGUUGGAAAAAGGCUUUGGGAAUGUGGCACCUUUGGGUGUGUUAUAGCCCUUUGUUGUAUACGACGGUUGGGAUUGAGGACUGCAGCACGCCUUCAUGGCCGGGGUUCGCCCACGUACGUGCUUAGGAUGUUGGCAUAAUGGCUUUAAGCGACCCGUCUUGAAACACGGACCAAGGAGUCUAACAUGCCUGCAAGUGUUUGGGUGGAAAACCCAUGCGCGUAAUGAAAGUGACAGCUGAGAUCCUCUCAUCAGGAGCAUCAGCGCCUGGACUUGAUCUACGGAGACGGUUCUACGGUAGAGCAUGUAUGUUGGGACCCGAAAGAUGGUGAACUAUGCCUGAAUAGGGUGAAGCCAGAGGAAACUCUGGUGGAGGCUCGUAGCGAUUCUGACGUGCAAAUCGAUCGUC